Molecule: ribosomal RNA, 760 nt
Filed under: uncultured bacterium
Lineage: Bacteria
Description: bacterial SSU rRNA
Rfam family: Bacterial small subunit ribosomal RNA
Source: RNAcentral
GAUGAACGCUAGCUACAGGCUUAACACAUGCAAGUCGAGGGGCAGCAUGGUCUUAGCUUGCUAAGGCCGAUGGCGACCGGCGCACGGGUGAGUAACGCGUAUGCAACUUACCUAUCAGAGGGGGAUAACCCGGCGAAAGUCGGACUAAUACCGCAUGAAGCAGGGGCCCCGCAUGGGGAUAUUUGCUAAAGAUUCAUCGCUGAUAGAUAGGCAUGCGUUCCAUUAGAUAGUAGGCGGGGUAACGGCCCACCUAGUCUUCGAUGGAUAGGGGUUCUGAGAGGAAGGUCCCCCACAUUGGAACUGAGACACGGUCCAAACUCCUACGGGAGGCAGCAGUGAGGAAUAUUGGUCAAUGGGCGAGAGCCUGAACCAGCCAAGUAGCGUGAAGGAUGACUGCCCUAUGGGUUGUAAACUUCUUUUAUAAAGGAAUAAAGUCGGGUAUGCAUACCCGUUUGCAUGUACUUUAUGAAUAAGGAUCGGCUAACUCCGUGCCAGCAGCCGCGGUAAUACGGAGGAUCCGAGCGUUAUCCGGAUUUAUUGGGUUUAAAGGGAGCGUAGAUGGAUGUUUAAGUCAGUUGUGAGAGUUUGCGGCUCAACCGUAAAAUUGCAGUUGAUACUGGAUAUCUUGAGUGCAGUUGAGGCAGGCGGAAUUCGUGGUGUAGCGGUGAAAUGCUUAGAUAUCACGAAGAACUCCGAUUGCGAAGGCAGCCUGCUAAGCUGCAACUGACAUUGAGGCUCGAAAGUGUGGGUAUCAAACAGG